AAAAUCAACAUGUCUAUGGUAGUAAUCUCUAAGAUUAUUACAUAGUUGAUUGAUUAAGUUUAUCUCGAUACUCUCAAUGAUCCUGUAUCACCACAGAUGUCAUAUAUCCCGGUCCUGUUGGCUUAGAAUAUGUCCUAAAUACUUAACAUAAGUCUACCAUUAUUAAAGUUAUUCUUGCUAACUGUAUAACCUUAUUCAACAACAAAGUAUAAUAAUAUUAUUGUAUCAAUUUCACAGCCUUGUUGUGUUACAUUUCUUACACUGCUGACUACCUAAGGGAAAAUAAAACUUAGCUAGGUUACUAAACAUUACUUAAGCCAAAAUAGUGGGAGUUUUAAAAUAACCUUAUGGCAAUUUUUUAUAAACCCACCAUUGCCCCAUUUCUAACACGUAAUUAUCCAUGAGAGUAAUGUAUAAAAAAUACUACUACUGGUCAAAAGAUAAAAACAAUUUUAAAAUAACAUAAUCAGACCAAAACCACUACUCUGAAAAACUCCACAAAGAAACAAUAUUUUACUCUUAUUGUGCUAGGAAAAUAAACUUAAGGAAGCCUACCCUUAGUCAAAGGCUAUGCCCUUACUUUCUUCUCCUUGGUGCAAAUUACAAAUAUGUCUAAGAACUUUAAACUCAAUCAUAAAUAUCACCUACACAAAUUACCUUAAAUCAGUAUUACAAAUUACCUUAAAUUCAUUAUCCAAAUGGCUUUCCAAUAAGGCUGAUCAAACCACCAAGGAAAGCCAUGAUAGAGGUCAUAAGUCAAAGCACCCCUUCAAAGAAGUGUUUCUUACUAUAUUAGAAAAACCGUCAAACAUUUUCAACAUGUUGUAUCCCAGGUUCCCAGAGCAUUUCUCUAUCAAAAGAAUUCACGUGUUUAAUUAAAACUCAGAAAGAAAAAAAAAUUCCAUGUGUGUGCGUACCCCUUUAAGAUAUCGUGGCUCUAGGAAAAAUGGAAAUCUCCUUUAAGAUAUCGUGCCACUCCUGUCUUUACAGAGUCUGAAGUUCCAAUGUAUGCAGAUGAUACAUUGGUAAAUACAUGCAAAUAGUAAACAACAAACUACACAAGACCUCACUAAAAAGAAAACAACUGAUGCCCCUGAGACAGAUGUCUACGAUUUUAAGUACCACGGCAUCAUACUUGAUUCCAACCUCUCUUUUAAAAAGCAAGCGAAAAAUGUAACUCAAAUAACCAAAUUCAACCUAGCUAACUUACAAAACAUAUGAAAUUGUUUGACUACAGAGGUAAUGAACUGUACUUCAAAUCUAUGAUACUCCCCUUCCUUAAAAUAACAACUGACUAGUUUGGCCCAAGCUUGCUUUACAACAUUAAACCCCAUUCAGUCUUUCUGCAAACAGGCUCUCAAAGUGGUUGAUAGGAAGCCCGAUAGCUAUAAUUACUGUUACAUUCUCAGAAAGCAUGAUCUCCUGCAUUGGAAAAAAUCUUGUGCAAUACACUGACACAUGUCUUGUAUUCAAGAUUCUAAAUGUCCAGGCUCCCCCUCCACUCAGUAAUGACCGGACAUUGUUCCACGUAAUGGAAACAGAUUAUAAUGUUAGAAUACAUUAAACUUCCUACUCAAAUUCACCAAGCACGAUCAUCAGAAACUUAACUUUUCCUUAUUCACACCUGAAUCCCUUACAGCCCAACAUAGCCCAGUGCGCACACCCAACUCUCCUAUUCUUACCAGUAGGCAAAAAUAUACCUCUCAUCCCCGGUUAAUUCCAGGACCUCCUUUGAGGAUUUACCACCCAUAUUAUUCAAUUACGUUCCUUGUUAUUAUGCUUAUUCUCACAUUCUAUGUGUGUGCAUUUACUGUUUUUAUACAUAAAUCUUACAAUCUAUGUGUGUGCUCUUAUUCUCAUAUGUAUUUAAUAGUCCCAGACUACUUCCCAUAUAUUUGUACUUAUCCCAGACUACUUCCCAUAUACAUGUAAGUGUCCCAGACUAUUUUGAUACAGGGUAGUUUAUUUUGGUAAUGGCCCCAACUACCUUGAAUCAUUGCGGACUAAAUUUCGUUCAAUACUCAGCCCCCCGUUUGAUAUUUAUCUAGACACUUUGUUACUUUUGAACUUUCUCUAUAUAAACUUCUAAAACAAAAAGGUAUACUGAAUAUGAAUCCUCCUGGACUUUUGUGAUUAUCACCUUACCUACACAAGAUUUAUAACAAUGUAUACAAUGUCUAAUGCAAGUUUAGAUUCUUCCCCCAAAAAUCUAUGAAUAAAGACUACUGACCUUAUUCUUGCAGCUGAGAAUUCAAUUUUGGUUGGAACUUGUCACCGUUUCUGUCACGCACCAGUUUGCCACCGGCCUGUAAAGAACCCUCAUAAAGGGGCCAGGUCUUUAAUCUACGGAUAUUUAAUCCGCCUGUGCACGGUUUCGGUGUCUCCAUGGAGUGACAGAAAAAGAUAUUGAAAUCCGGCUCGAAAGGACCAAGCUGUCACGAGAAUUUUCAAUCCCAAUGAUAUUAACUAACAAUCAAUAAGCUUGGACCAAUCCCGAGGGUUGUAAGACCCUGGGUUUAAUAAUAAUUAGGCAAAGACUCAGCUUAUGCAAAAGGUUUGUUGUAGUUUAUUCAUGAGAGCUCUAAAAACUAUAUAACUCCUACAAGCACCUACAAGUCUACAAGCACAUCUGUUCCUCCCUGGGUGGAGGAACUUUAUCUUCUGUCCUUGGUCUCACAGUUCCUCUUUAUCACACAUAAACACAAUGUUCCCACUGUCUCACAAUAUUCUAGUAUUAUGUCUAAAAACAUUGUCUAAGCUUAGGAUCGGGCUGAAUUACUGCCCCCUUUGGAGGAAGUGCGUGCCCAUAGUAAACAGAAUUUAUUUUUGUCCAAAAUUGCUAAUAUAUGCAUAUAAUAAUUAUUAUUGAAUAGAAAACACUCUAAAGUUUCUAAAACCGUUUAAAUUAUGUCUGUAUGUAAAGCAGAACUCUCAGGGCAGCCAUUCUCCCAAACUCUCUCUUGGCAACAGAAAAGUUGGGACAACUUUCACGUCAUCGCCCCCACCCUUCCCAACCAGCUACGGAUCUGGGAACAGUUUCUAUGUGUUCAGCGCGAUGUCUGCUUUCAAAUGGGGCGUUCAUUGUGAGAAUCUCGCGCGCCCUUGUCCUUUGGCGGGCUAAAACGUUCGGGUCACGCGAAAAUACAUGCACUCUAUUGCGCGCGUCUGAAUUGGAGCUCUCUUUUUCCAUGAAACACCAAUCGAUGUCGGUUUGUCUGUUCGAGCUGAUAAUUGUUUUACACGUUUAAAAGAUCCUAAAGCUUGAUUCUGCACUUAGUUUGACCAGUUUAGUCGACAUAUAAUAUGUAAUUUUUAAGUUUUGUUGCGCAAGAGUGCGGGACCAGAAGUCAUUUUGGGUGCAUUUCAGCUGAAGCUGUUAGCAUAUGCUAAUACAGAGACACACAACUUGAAACCAAACGAUGUAUUGGGUAAGUAUAACUCCUUCCACGUCUUCUGAUUGAAGAACAUCAAAGGUAAGGGAAUAUUUAUGUGGUUAAUUUUGGGUUUCUGUGGACUCGUAGAGGAGAUAUACUGCUAAUAUCUGAGCGCCGUCUCAUAUUAUAGCCUAGUGAACGAAUUCUGUAACGUUAAAAAUAAAUGUAACACAGCGGUUGCAUUAAGAAGAAGUGUAUCUUUGUAACUAUAUGUAGAACAUGUAUAUUUAGUCAUGUGUAUUGCUUGUUAUCUGACGUUAUCUGUCGGAGCUAUCAUCAUUUCUCCGGACAUUUGAGUAUCAUUUUUUGAAAAUGUCGUCAUUGUAAACAGAGAUUUAUGGAUAUAAAUGGCAUAUUAUUGAAAAAAACAUAAAUGUACUGUGUAACAUGUCCUAUUACUGUCAUCUGAUGAAGAUUUUCAAAAUGUUAGUGAAUGAUUUAUUUUUUAAUCCUGCUUUUAUAAUUUUAUAUUUUCUGGGACAAAAUGGCUGCCUCUUGUCUUUGUUUCGGUGGUGGUCUAAUAUAAAUAUGUGGUAUGUUUUCGCCGUAAAACAUUUUAGAAAUCUGACUUGCUGGGUAGAUGAACAAGGUGUUUAUCUUUCAUUUGAGCUAUUGGACUUGUUAAUGUGUGGAGGUUAAAUAUUUCUAAGAAUAUUUUUUGCAUUUUGCGUUAUGGUAAUGAGCUUGAGCCUGUAGUCACGAUCCCGGAUCCGGGAUGGCUAGUUUCAAGAGGUUUGUCAUUCAGAUUCUCUUAUUAUUAGUUUAAACAUAUAAAUUCCCUUAUCACUUGUUUUGUAUUCGUUCGUUUUCAUUAAACUCACACUGCACUUGCUUCUAGACUCCUUGUGUCUACGUUACAGAUACAAACUAUUUUCAAAUGAAUCUUGUCUUUACUAAUAUGUAAAAUUUGUUUUGAUUUAGAAUGGCCUAUUAUCAAAUGGACAGUAACAGGGGCAAUUGUUUAAAAUAUACAUGUCAACGGUGUGUACCACAUAUCAACGGAAUAGACCACUUUCCCGCCAGUUAAUUUCGCUUCACUCAUGUCGGGUAGGCAACUUCACCCAAACUCUGUAUGCCAUGGGCUCUCCAACCCUGUUCUUGCAGCUACUUGGUGCUUAAUUUGGGAAACCAACUGAAAUCUGUUCGGGAACAUCGAUAGUAACAUGUUUUCACAGCGACACAUAGUUCAUUAAACUUGACAGCCCCAGGGGAGGAGAUGGAAACUCACCGUGGUGAAAUAUUCUGUAGCUAAAGGUAAUGUACUGUCCAUUUUGUUGUUAGGCUUUGAAACAACAUCCACAACUACCAUGUUUCCACUCUUCUUUCUUCAAAUUGAUCAAUCGCAAUCAGAUCACAUCUUUUGGACUGGCUGGAGGAAUGACCACCAAGGAGAAUGUGUGGAGAAUACUAACAAAACUCCUGACAAAUGCCCUGGCCAUGAAGAGGAACUGGAGAGGGGCCAAUGGGAUGCAGGCAUUCCAACCGCUCACCCUGUAAGGCGUAGUUCUCAGUGCUAUCUGGCGAAACCACCAUAGAACCAAAGCUUCUGAUGGUGAAAUUGAGAAAUACAUCAAGAGGUGGAUGCAGCUGGCCUCUGACUGAGACGAAGGGAGAAAGAAGAGAACGCGACUGAGGGGAGAAGAAGACCAGAGCGGAGUAGAGGAGUGAUGUCACUACACCCUUCACUAUGCCCUACCCACUAAGCACAAUAACAAGGGAAUGCUGUUACCAUAACAAAACCAAUUUCGCUAAGAGGAAAUCUUGGUCCGUUUUAUUUUUACUAUGCAAUGGGUGCUAAAAUAAAUGCUUUUUAUCUUUUACAUGUUUUUUGUUGUUGAAGUAUGAUGUUUUUACACAGUUGCAACUUUAUUUGGUCCUUAUAAGCCUAUGCUGUCUUUGCCUACGAUGCAAUUGUCACCACUGAAAACCUUCAUGCAGAAUUUGGCUAGAUAUGCACUACAUAUACAAAAGUAUGUGGACAGCCAUUAAAAUUAGUAGAUCCCUGCCCCGCUCCCUGCCCCAAUGCAUAGUGCCAACUGUAAAGUUUGGUAGAGGAGGAAUAAUGGUCUGGGGCUGUUGUUCAUGGUCCGGGCUAGGCCGCUUAGUUCCAGUAAAGGGAAAUCAUAAUGUACAGCAUAGAAUUACAUUCUAGACAAUUAUGUGCUCCAACUUUGUGGCAACAGUUUGGGGAAGGGCCUUUCUUGUUUCAACAUGACAAUGCUCCUGUGCACAAAUCAAGGUCCAUAUAGAAAUGGUUUGCUGAGAUCGCUGCGGAAGAACUUGAAUGGCCUGCACAGAGCCAUGACCUCAACCCCAUCACUGUGGAAGAACUUGAUUGGCCUGCAUAGAGCCCUGACCUCAACUCCCACUAACACUCUUGUGGCUGAAUGGAAGCAAGUCCACACAGCAAUAUUGCAACUUCUAGUGGAAAGCCUUCCCAGAAGAGUGGAGGCAGUUAUGGCAGCAAAGGGGGGACCAACUCCAUAUUAUUGCCCAUGAUUUUGGAAUGAGAUGUUCGAUGAGCAGGUGUCCACAUUCUUUUGGUCAUGUAGUGUAUUUUCUUAUAUUCACUGACUGGACAUAUGACAUGUUGUGGAAUAGGACCGUCAUUGUGAGAUUUUUUUCAUAAGGUACUUUACUACAACCAUCAAAGGUUGCUUGUUCAAACCCUGACAUCCGUCUUAUAACUACCUAAGCAGUUUUCAAAAAGAAAACCCUGAGACAGUCAUCACUUAGAUGUAUGAGGCCAUGCACAUUAUUCACCAAAUUCUCUGUACCAUAAAACUGGCCAAAAUGCUCUACAAAAGACACUGUUACAAUUAUGUUGAAAAACUGCAGCUUCCAUGGCCCCACAGCAAAGUUGAUAUAGCAGUGAACGUUCAUAAUUUUUUAAACCACCACCAGAGAGAGAUUGAUGUCAAUGGUAUUGGUGUUAAGUUUUUAGUUUUUAGUUGAAGUCACAGGCCAUGCUGGAGACUGUAGUUUAUAUUUUGGGCUCUACUCCCUACUCCCUAUGGGAUUUUUAAAAUGAAAUGUGAUAUCUUUCCUGUUAAAAUAAAAAUAAUAAAAUAUCAUUCUGAGCAAUGAGUAAAUGUCUACUUGUUCAUUGUUUAAGGUUGUGACAGCUGUUUGUAUUUUGAUAUAGCAUAAUGCAACUGAAGUGAAAAAUAUUAUGGGGGUGGAUGGGU
Molecule: long non-coding RNA, 6622 nt
Organism: Oncorhynchus tshawytscha (Chinook salmon)
Lineage: Eukaryota; Metazoa; Chordata; Actinopteri; Salmoniformes; Salmonidae
Source: Ensembl